Molecule: long non-coding RNA, 889 nt
Filed under: Marmota marmota marmota (Alpine marmot)
Lineage: Eukaryota; Metazoa; Chordata; Mammalia; Rodentia; Sciuridae
Description: lncRNA (ENSMMMG00000010983.1)
Source: RNAcentral
GGGAGAGGGAAGGAGGCUGUGACCCUGUGGCUUUUCCUUUGUAGACGAGUUCUUCCACUUUGUCCUUCUGUGCUUCGCCAUCGGGGCCUUGCUGGUGUGCUACCAUUACUAUGCAGGUGAGGACCCCUGGAAAACUGGGAGAGGGCCGCAGGGGUUGUGGGGGAGGCCAGGGCCCUGCAGACCUGUAGGCUGACCAGGCUCUUCUUUUCUGUCCUCCAGACUGGUUCAUGUCCCUCGGGGUUGGCCUGCUCACCUUCGCCUCUCUGGAGACCAUGGGCAUCUACUUUGGGCUGGCAGUGUACCGUGUCCACAGCGUCCUGCAGGGCUUCAUCCCCCUCUUCCAGAAGUUAAUAGGGUUCAAGAAGACCCACUGAGGCCACGGGGACAGAGCCACGUUCUGGGAGACCACAGGAGGCCAUCCCAAAGCAAUCAAGAGAGUUCUUUUCCUUCCAUGUGGGCUGGACCUUGGCAGGAGCCCAGGCCGGGGCAUCAUUUGGGCAGCCCCAGAAUUCCAUCCAGCUGCCAGGGUGGAGGGCAGAGGGAGGGCGCGGGCCUGAGCCCUUCCCAGGCACCCGGAUCAGCAGGAAGUUUCUGCAAAAGCGAUGGUUCUGGGCAGGGGGCCCAAGAGCCCAGGGGACCCUCCAGGUGGGCGCUCUGUCUGGGCUUCUGGUUUCUUCCAAAUCUCAGACCAUGCUGAUGCGCUCUGAGAUCCAAAGAGCCACCCUGGGGCAGAGCUUACUACCCAGAGCCAUGGAGCCACCAGGCUGGGUCCCCCCCCAGUGAACCUGAUGCAGGUAAGAAGAAGGGGACCAACACCACAGCCCCUGGGAAUUUUCCCUCAGCCCUGCUGUCCCCAAAGCCAUCAAUUCAAAUAAACACUCUCCUGCAC